CUGCUGCAACUCGCCAAAGACGAAGCCUACCUUCGUAGACUGCAAACACACACGGGUGACAUUACUAUUUUUCCCCUGCACACUGGCUGGCUUCAUGUGCAUGCACAUGAUGAUUGAAUCUCCGCGCACACGUAAAAAAAGUCUAUGUUCCACAUUGCUUCUGAUGGGUGCUUUUUUUUGCAGUACCCCGUCCGUCCGUCCUUUCGUCGUUUACCCCACUGCACGGUACACACAUCUUGACCGUCAGCCAGGCAGCAGGCAGGAGGCGUAUAGUUGGAGAAGACUUUUCUUUCGACGCAAAACCACAUUUUCGUCGCUUCCCAAGGCACCAAAUCGCGUACACCGGGCAGGUGUAAAUUAGCAAUUUUCCACAGCACUGGAGGACACUUUCACGUUCAUCAGAAAACUUUUGAAAGAUUUUUGCCUGCAGCCAGCAGAGGACAGGUUCGUGCACUUUGACGUUUGUUGUUCUCGCGCACGGUGCUCGAAAAGGGCCGGCUGAAGGGCAGCUGUCAGAAAAUCCCGAAAGUCUACACAACGGUGCAGGGGUGCUGUGUUAAGGCGAAAGUUGAAGUCAAAACCAUACGGGCUAUAAUCUUGACAGUUUUGCAAAAAUGUCAGACAAAUCGUCAUCACUCGGAGCGCAGAACGAGAAGAAACAA
Long non-coding RNA from Aedes albopictus (Asian tiger mosquito), 662 nucleotides. RefSeq lists it as uncharacterized. The record is from RefSeq and is a predicted model, not a curated record. Lineage: Eukaryota; Metazoa; Arthropoda; Insecta; Diptera; Culicidae. The transcript is spliced from 2 exons.